AGUGAACGCUGGCGGUAGGCCUAACACAUGCAAGUCGAACGGCAGCACAGUAAGAGCUUGCUCUUACGGGUGGCGAGUGGCGGACGGGUGAGGAAUACAUCGGAAUCUACUUUUUCGUGGGGGAUAACGUAGGGAAACUUACGCUAAUACCGCAUACGACCUACGGGUGAAAGCAGGGGAUCUUCGGACCUUGCGCGAUUGAAUGAGCCGGUGUCGGAUUAGCUAGUUGGCGGGGUAAAGGCCCACCAAGGCGACGAUCCGUAGCUGGUCUGAGAGGAUGAUCAGCCACACUGGAACUGAGACACGGUCCAGACUCCUACGGGAGGCAGCAGUGGGGAAUAUUGGACAAUGGGCGCAAGCCUGAUCCGGCCAUACCGCGUGGGUGAAGAAGGCCUUCGGGUUGUAAAGCCCUUUUGUUGGGAAAGAAAAGCAGCAGGUUAAUACCCCGCUGUUCUGACGGUACCCAAAGAAUAAGCACCGGCUAACUUCGUG
RNAcentral lists this ribosomal RNA (492 nucleotides) under uncultured bacterium. RNAcentral describes it as "partial 16S ribosomal RNA". It matches the Rfam family "Bacterial small subunit ribosomal RNA", at positions 29 to 507 of the family's 1533-position model. The record is from RNAcentral.